CAGAAAUUAGUUUAUUAAAAAUAUUGGUUUUGGGGACUAAAGAUGGGUUUUACUGUUUCUGA
RNAcentral lists this transfer RNA (62 nucleotides) under Tenebrionoidea sp. 15 KM-2017. Its description in RNAcentral is "tRNA-Pro". Lineage: Eukaryota; Metazoa; Arthropoda; Insecta; Coleoptera. The record is from RNAcentral.